GGGAGUUUGGUCUAGUGGUAUGAUUCUCGCUUCGGGUGUGAGAGGCCUCGAGUUCGUUUCUCGCAACACCCCU
Molecule: transfer RNA, 73 nt
Filed under: Pleodorina starrii
Lineage: Eukaryota; Viridiplantae; Chlorophyta; Chlorophyceae; Chlamydomonadales; Volvocaceae
Description: tRNA-Pro
Rfam family: tRNA
About the family: Transfer RNA (tRNA) molecules are approximately 80 nucleotides in length. Their secondary structure includes four short double-helical elements and three loops (D, anti-codon, and T loops). Further hydrogen bonds mediate the characteristic L-shaped molecular structure. tRNAs have two regions of fundamental functional importance: the anti-codon, which is responsible for specific mRNA codon recognition, and the 3' end, to which the tRNAs corresponding amino acid is attached (by aminoacyl-tRNA synthetases). tRNAs cope with the degeneracy of the genetic code in two manners: having more than one tRNA (with a specific anti-codon) for a particular amino acid; and 'wobble' base-pairing, i.e. permitting non-standard base-pairing at the 3rd anti-codon position.
Source: RNAcentral